GGGUUUCGUCGGCGAAACUUUGCAGGCCGCUGGCGUUGGCGGCGGCGCGCAGGCUGACGGCACCGAAGGUGCGCGAGCGGGCCAGGAUGCUUUCGCGCACCAGGCGAAUGGUCAUGUCGGAUGUCAGGCCGGCGAGGGCAUUGAUGCGCACGGUGGGGUCGUUGUCGUCAUCGGCAUCCAGGCGCGGAUGCAGGUCGGCCCAGUAUUGCUUGAGCAAUUCGCUGAUCAGGGUCAGCGAGCUGGCCAGCCCCGGAAGGCCUUCGAGGGCCAGGGAGCUUUGCAGCAGGAAAUGGGUAAUGCGCAGGUCUUUGCUGCGUUGCAACAGGUCCAGGCUUUGUUGCUGGAUGCUGCGCCAUUCAGGGGGUUCGGCAGGCAGGAUCGAGUCGCCCAUGCUGCGCUCGGGCUGGCCUCGGGAAUCGCGUUCCAGGCGCAAGAAAUCCGC
RNAcentral lists this non-coding RNA (442 nucleotides) under Pseudomonas sp. Cab53. Lineage: Bacteria; Pseudomonadati; Pseudomonadota; Gammaproteobacteria; Pseudomonadales; Pseudomonadaceae. The record is from RNAcentral.